AGCUUUGCGCAGUGGCAGUAUCGUAGCCAAUGAGGUUUAUCUGAGGCACGAUUAUCGCUAAUUUAAAACAGCUAGAUAGUAAAUACUUUAGACUUUUAGCUCACAUGGUCUCUGCUACAACUACUCAACUCUGCUGUUAUUUGAAAGCACAGACAUGAG
RNAcentral lists this small nuclear RNA (159 nucleotides) under Zalophus californianus (California sea lion). Its description in RNAcentral is "U4 spliceosomal RNA (ENSZCAG00015003193.1)". It matches the Rfam family "U4 spliceosomal RNA". Rfam says of the family: U4 small nuclear RNA (U4 snRNA) is a component of the major U2-dependent spliceosome. The record is from RNAcentral. Lineage: Eukaryota; Metazoa; Chordata; Mammalia; Carnivora; Otariidae.